This 75-nucleotide transfer RNA is filed under the name Bacteroidota bacterium. RNAcentral describes it as "Bacteroidetes bacterium (activated sludge metagenome) tRNA-Ile". It matches the Rfam family "tRNA". From Rfam's summary of the family: Transfer RNA (tRNA) molecules are approximately 80 nucleotides in length. The record is from RNAcentral. RNAcentral also lists the same sequence under 1 other name. Lineage: Bacteria; Pseudomonadati; Bacteroidota.
AGAUCUGUAGCUUAGCUGGUUAAAAGCACCUCUCUGAUACGGAGGAGACCGCAGGUUCAAGUCCUGCCAGAUCUA